UAGGGAAUCUUCCGCAAUGGGCGAAAGCCUGACGGAGCAACGCCGCGUGAGUGAUGAAGGUCUUCGGAUCGUAAAACUCUGUUAUUAGGGAAGAACAAAUGUGUAAGUAACUAUGCACGUCUUGACGGUACCUAAUCAGAAAGCCACGGCUAACUACGUGCCAGCAGCCGCGGUAAUACGUAGGUGGCAAGCGUUAUCCGGAAUUAUUGGGCGUAAAGCGCGCGUAGGCGGUUUUUUAAGUCUGAUGUGAAAGCCCACGGCUCAACCGUGGAGGGUAAUUGGAAACUGAAAAACUUGAGUGCAGAAGAGGAAAGUGGAAUUCCAUGCGUAGCGGUGAAAUGCGCAGAGAUAUGGAGGAACACCAGUGGCGAAGGCGACUUUCUGGUAUGUAACUGACGCUGAUGUGCGAAAGCGUGGGGAUCAAACAGG
Molecule: ribosomal RNA, 429 nt
Filed under: Actinomycetes bacterium
Lineage: Bacteria; Bacillati; Actinomycetota; Actinomycetes
Description: Actinobacteria bacterium partial 16S ribosomal RNA
Rfam family: Bacterial small subunit ribosomal RNA
Source: RNAcentral